RNAcentral lists this long non-coding RNA (604 nucleotides) under Homo sapiens (human). RNAcentral's name for it is "non-protein coding lnc-CCDC140-1:17". The record is from RNAcentral. Lineage: Eukaryota; Metazoa; Chordata; Mammalia; Primates; Hominidae.
GGGGAGGGGAAACGGCAGCCUCAACCGCCUGGCAGCGGCGGUUUCUUCUCUUCGUGAAAAUCGUGAUCUCAUCUCUCCGUCCAUGGGCGAAAAAACAGCCAUCACCAGGCCAUUCACGCUUUGUGCUUUUGUUAGCAGAGCCCAGGCAGCCCUGCAGCCCACAUCUAGGGUACAAACGGAACGGCGGCGUUUUCCUUGUAUCAUUUAGAGGAAAUUUUUGAGCUGAACAGUAUUUUUUUUCUCCCUCUCUCUCUCUCUGAAAUAUUGCUGAGAUUUAAAGGAGGACGAAGACAACAGAUUCAUAGCUGGGUCUUGCUGUUUUCCUGACGCUGACCACAGCGGAUCUAGUUUCUCUGCAGAAGACAGCAAGAUGCCCCAGGGAAUGUUUGUGAAAAAGGAUGACUGGAUGGGAAGCAAGCUGAAGAAAAAGAAGGAAAGAAAGAGAGAAAUCAGUAAAUCACCACACAAGAGGUGGAGAAGAGGACUUAUAAAUAUUGUUUCUAUGACAUUUGAAAAUAAAUGUUUUACUCCAUGCUAAUAGUGAAUGUGAUGUCUUCAGUUUGAAGGGCUUUAAGUGAAGCUCAUUAAAACCCACUAUUUUCCA